Molecule: non-coding RNA, 208 nt
Filed under: Eubacterium sp.
Lineage: Bacteria; Bacillati; Bacillota; Clostridia; Eubacteriales; Eubacteriaceae
Description: T-box sequence
Rfam family: T-box leader
About the family: Uncharged tRNA acts as the effector for transcription antitermination of genes in the T-box leader family.
Source: RNAcentral
AUAAAUGCUAUGAUGAAGAGGAGUAUCUUGUAACUGCUUAACAGAGAGUAGGUUGUUGGUGGAAGACCUAUAAGUAAGUGCGAGGGAAGGUAGCUUUGGAGCAGCAUCAGUGAACAUUUAAAAACUAUCAGUAGCUGAUGACGAUUCGUCCCCGUUAAGGAUAUGAUAAGUAAAACAAAAGGUGGUACCGCGGAUAUUCGCCCUUUUA